Molecule: ribosomal RNA, 355 nt
Rfam family: Bacterial large subunit ribosomal RNA
AGAUUAAGUUAUUAAGGGCGCACGGUGGAUGCCUUGGCACUAGAAGCCGAUGAAGGACGUUACUAACGACGAUAUGCUUUGGGGAGCUGUAAGUAAGCUUUGAUCCAGAGAUUUCCGAAUGGGGAAACCCAGCAUGAGUUAUGUCAUGUUAUCGAUAUGUGAAUACAUAGCAUAUCAGAAGGCACACCCGGAGAACUGAAACAUCUUAGUACCCGGAGGAAGAGAAAGAAAAUUCGAUUCCCUUAGUAGCGGCGAGCGAAAUGGGAAGAGCCCAAACCAACAAGCUUGCUUGUUGGGGUUGUAGGACACUCUAUACGGAGUUACAAAGGACGACAUUAGACGAAUCAUCUGGAAA